This 77-nucleotide transfer RNA is filed under the name Herposiphonia versicolor. RNAcentral's name for it is "tRNA-Lys". It matches the Rfam family "tRNA". Rfam says of the family: Transfer RNA (tRNA) molecules are approximately 80 nucleotides in length. Their secondary structure includes four short double-helical elements and three loops (D, anti-codon, and T loops). Further hydrogen bonds mediate the characteristic L-shaped molecular structure. tRNAs have two regions of fundamental functional importance: the anti-codon, which is responsible for specific mRNA codon recognition, and the 3' end, to which the tRNAs corresponding amino acid is attached (by aminoacyl-tRNA synthetases). tRNAs cope with the degeneracy of the genetic code in two manners: having more than one tRNA (with a specific anti-codon) for a particular amino acid; and 'wobble' base-pairing, i.e. permitting non-standard base-pairing at the 3rd anti-codon position. The record is from RNAcentral. Lineage: Eukaryota; Rhodophyta; Florideophyceae; Ceramiales; Rhodomelaceae.
UGAGUGUAUAGCUUAAUUUGGAUAAAGCUUUAAACUUUUAAUUUAAUAAUUUUAGGUUCAAAUCCUAAUACACUCAG